GACGAACGCUGGCGGCGUGCUUAACACAUGCAAGUCGAACGGAAAGGCCCUGCUUUUGUGGGGUGCUCGAGUGGCGAACGGGUGAGUAACACGUGAGUAACCUGCCCUUGACUUUGGGAUAACUUCAGGAAACUGGGGCUAAUACCGGAUAGGAGCUCCUGCUGCAUGGGGGGGGUGGGAAAGUUUCGGCGGUUGGGGAUGGACUCGCGGCUUAUCAGCUUGUUGGUGGGGUAGUGGCUUACCAAGGCUUUGACGGGUAGCCGGCCUGAGAGGGUGACCGGCCACAUUGGGACUGAGAUACGGCCCAGACUCCUACGGGAGGCAGCAGUGGGGAAUAUUGCACAAUGGGCGGAAGCCUGAUGCAGCAACGCCGCGUGCGGGAUGACGGCCUUCGGGUUGUAAACCGCUUUCGCCUGUGACGAAGCGCGAGUGACGGUAAUGGGUAAAGAAGCACCGGCUAACUACGUG
Molecule: ribosomal RNA, 468 nt
Filed under: uncultured bacterium
Lineage: Bacteria
Description: partial 16S ribosomal RNA
Rfam family: Bacterial small subunit ribosomal RNA
Source: RNAcentral